CGAGUCGGCUGGGCGGUCGCGUCGGUGCCCUUCGGGGCGCCGCCGAGGAACGUCCGGACUCCGCAGAGCAGGGUGGUUGUUAACGGCAACCCGGGGCGACCCGCGGGACAGUGCCACAGAGAACAGACCGCCGGCCCCACCAGGCCGGUAAGGGUGAAACGGUGAGGUAAGAGCUCACCAGCACCCCGGGCGACCGGGGUGGCUAGGUAAACCCCACCCGGAGCAAGGCCAAGCAAGGCCGGCGCCGCGAGGCCCCGGCCGGCGCAGGCGUUCGAGGGCUGCUCGCCCGAGCCUGCGGGUAGGCCGCAAGAGCCUGCCGGCAACGGCAGGCCGAGAUGGAUGGCCGCCACCAGCGUCUUCGCUGGCUACAGAAUCCGGCGUACAGGCCGACUCGUCCG
Molecule: RNase P RNA, 398 nt
Filed under: Paractinoplanes atraurantiacus
Lineage: Bacteria; Bacillati; Actinomycetota; Actinomycetes; Micromonosporales; Micromonosporaceae
Description: Actinoplanes sp. Y16 Bacterial RNase P class A
Rfam family: Bacterial RNase P class A
About the family: Ribonuclease P (RNase P) is a ubiquitous endoribonuclease, found in archaea, bacteria and eukarya as well as chloroplasts and mitochondria. Its best characterised activity is the generation of mature 5'-ends of tRNAs by cleaving the 5'-leader elements of precursor-tRNAs.
Source: Rfam by way of RNAcentral